Molecule: ribosomal RNA, 373 nt
Filed under: uncultured bacterium
Lineage: Bacteria
Description: bacterial SSU rRNA
Rfam family: Bacterial small subunit ribosomal RNA
Source: RNAcentral
ACACGUAGGGGGCGAGCGUUGUUCGGAAUUACUGGGCGUAAAGGGCAUGUAGGCGGUUUUGUAAGCCUGACGUGAAAGGCUAUGGCUUAACCAUGGCACUGCGUUGGGAACUGCGAGACUUGAAUCAUGGAGGGGGAGCUGGAAUUCCAGGUGUAGGGGUGAAAUCUGUAGAUAUCUGGAAGAACACCAGUGGCGAAGGCGAGCUCCUGGCCAAUGAUUGACGCUGAGGUGCGAAAGUGUGGGGAUCAAACAGGAUUAGAGACCCUGGUAGUCCACACUGUCAACGAUGUGCACUAGGUGCUGGGGCGGACGCUUCAGUGCCGGAGCUAACGCGGUAAGUGCACCGCCUGGGGAGUAUGCUCGCAAGGGUGAA